AUGUUGUAUGAAAGGAGAGAAGGUCAGCACUCCCCUUGAGAAGGAUGGAAGAAGUCCUAGUGGCCUUUACAACACAUAUAUGGUUAAGGCAUUGCCACCUACUUCGUCCAGCGCUUAGAACAGUGCUUGGC
Tachyglossus aculeatus (Australian echidna) is the source of this 131-nucleotide small nuclear RNA. NCBI's taxonomy places the organism in Eukaryota, Metazoa, Chordata, Mammalia, Monotremata, Tachyglossidae. The record is from RefSeq and is a predicted model, not a curated record.